RNAcentral lists this non-coding RNA (73 nucleotides) under Compsopogon caeruleus. The record is from RNAcentral. Lineage: Eukaryota; Rhodophyta; Compsopogonophyceae; Compsopogonales; Compsopogonaceae.
AGGCUUUGUGAAGGAGGACGAUACAGAAUUGGCUCUUCCGGACAGGAUCUGAAACUCCUGCUAUGGGAUUUUU